This 468-nucleotide ribosomal RNA is filed under the name uncultured bacterium. RNAcentral's name for it is "partial 16S ribosomal RNA". It matches the Rfam family "Bacterial small subunit ribosomal RNA", at positions 28 to 507 of the family's 1533-position model. The record is from RNAcentral.
GACGAACGCUGGCGGCGUGCCUAACACAUGCAAGUAGAACGCUAAGGCCCUGCUUUUGUUCGGUGCUCGAGUGGCGAACGGGUGAGUAACGCGUGAGUAACCUGCCCUGUACCUUGGGAUAACUUCAGGAAACGGUGGCUAAUACCGCAUAGGAGUACCUGCUGCAUGGUGUGUGCUGGAAAGUUUCGACGGCUGGGCUUGGACUCGCGGCUUCUCAGCUUGUUGGUGUGGUAGUGGCUUACCAAGGCUUUGACGGGUAGCCGGCCUGAGAGGGUGACCGGCCACAUUGGGACUGAGAUACGGGCCAGACUCCUACGGGAGGCAGGAGUGGGGAAUAUUGCACAAUGGGCGGAAGCCUGAAGCAGCAACGCCGCGUGCGGGAUGACGGCCUUCGGGUUGUAACCCGUUUUCGCCUGUGACGAAGCGUGAGUGACGGUAAUGGGUAAAGAAGCACCGGCUAACUACGUG